Molecule: ribosomal RNA, 431 nt
Filed under: uncultured bacterium
Lineage: Bacteria
Description: bacterial SSU rRNA
Rfam family: Bacterial small subunit ribosomal RNA
Source: RNAcentral
UCGAGGAUCUUCGGCAAUGGGCGCAAGCCUGACCGAGCGACGCCGCGUGUGCGAUGAAGGCCUUCGGGUUGUAAAGCACUGUCGAGGGGGAGGAAGCCGCAAGGUUGACCUAUCCCUGGAGGAAGCACGGGCUAAGUUCGUGCCAGCAGCCGCGGUAAGACGAACCGUGCAAACGUUGUUCGGAAUCACUGGGCUUAAAGGGCGCGUAGGCGGGCCAUCAAGUCCGGGGUGAAAGCCCCCAGCUUAACUGGGGAAGUGCCUUGGAUACUGGUGGCCUCGAGGAGGGUAGGGGCAUCUGGAACGUUGGGUGGAGCGGUGAAAUGCGUUGAUAUCCAACGGAACUCCGGUGGCGAAAGCGAGGUGCUGGACCCUUUCUGACGCUGAUGCGCGAAAGCCAGGGGAGCAAACGGGAUUAGAUACCCCCGUAGUCC